Molecule: long non-coding RNA, 254 nt
Filed under: Mytilus galloprovincialis (Mediterranean mussel)
Lineage: Eukaryota; Metazoa; Mollusca; Bivalvia; Mytilida; Mytilidae
Source: RNAcentral
CCCGGGGGCGUCUUCAGCUGGCCCUAUAAUUAUAUUAAGUGUUCGAUUAAACCUUAAACCUGUCACCUCGACGUUGUAAUAGCAUUCUUAGACUCUAUUGUAACACAUUCACUUUCCAAUAACUUCUAUUUUAAGAUACAGGUAGGAAACAUUCUGAAUCACACAUUAUCAAAACAGUAAAAUAAUUCCUAAAUCAAGUAUCACAUGGACAUGGAUAGUUGUUCCUACAGAUAAAGCAUCAAACAGUCACUUUA